Molecule: ribosomal RNA, 1190 nt
Filed under: Lactobacillus sp.
Lineage: Bacteria; Bacillati; Bacillota; Bacilli; Lactobacillales; Lactobacillaceae
Description: bacterial SSU rRNA
Rfam family: Bacterial small subunit ribosomal RNA
Source: RNAcentral
AACAGAUGCUAAUACCGCAUAACAACUUGGACCGCAUGGUCCGAGUUUGAAAGAUGGCUUCGGCUAUCACUUUUGGAUGGUCCCGCGGCGUAUUAGCUAGAUGGUGGGGUAACGGCUCACCAUGGCAAUGAUACGUAGCCGACCUGAGAGGGUAAUCGGCCACAUUGGGACUGAGACACGGCCCAAACUCCUACGGGAGGCAGCAGUAGGGAAUCUUCCACAAUGGACGAAAGUCUGAUGGAGCAACGCCGCGUGAGUGAAGAAGGGUUUCGGCUCGUAAAACUCUGUUGUUAAAGAAGAACAUAUCUGAGAGUAACUGUUCAGGUAUUGACGGUAUUUAACCAGAAAGCCACGGCUAACUACGUGCCAGCAGCCGCGGUAAUACGUAGGUGGCAAGCGUUGUCCGGAUUUAUUGGGCGUAAAGCGAGCGCAGGCGGUUUUUUAAGUCUGAUGUGAAAGCCUUCGGCUCAACCGAAGAAGUGCAUCGGAAACUGGGAAACUUGAGUGCAGAAGAGGACAGUGGAACUCCAUGUGUAGCGGUGAAAUGCGUAGAUAUAUGGAAGAACACCAGUGGCGAAGGCGGCUGUCUGGUCUGUAACUGACGCUGAGGCUCGAAAGUAUGGGUAGCAAACAGGAUUAGAUACCCUGGUAGUCCAUACCGUAAACGAUGAAUGCUAAGUGUUGGAGGGUUUCCGCCCUUCAGUGCUGCAGCUAACGCAUUAAGCAUUCCGCCUGGGGAGUACGGCCGCAAGGCUGAAACUCAAAGGAAUUGACGGGGGCCCGCACAAGCGGUGGAGCAUGUGGUUUAAUUCGAAGCUACGCGAAGAACCUUACCAGGUCUUGACAUACUAUGCAAAUCUAAGAGAUUAGACGUUCCCUUCGGGGACAUGGAUACAGGUGGUGCAUGGUUGUCGUCAGCUCGUGUCGUGAGAUGUUGGGUUAAGUCCCGCAACGAGCGCAACCCUUAUUAUCAGUUGCCAGCAUUAAGUUGGGCACUCUGGUGAGACUGCCGGUGACAAACCGGAGGAAGGUGGGGAUGACGUCAAAUCAUCAUGCCCCUUAUGACCUGGGCUACACACGUGCUACAAUGGAUGGUACAACGAGUUGCGAACUCGCGAGAGUAAGCUAAUCUCUUAAAGCCAUUCUCAGUUCGGAUUGUAGGCUGCAACUCGCCUACAUGAAGUCGGAAU